UUUUCAGAGAUGAGAAUGUGCCUUCGGGAACCGUGAGACAGGUGCUGCAUGGCUGUCGUCAGCUCGUGUUGUGAAAUGUUGGGUUAAGUCCCGCAACGAGCGCAACCCUUAUCCUUUGUUGCCAGCGGUCCGGCCGGGAACUCAAAGGAGACUGCCAGUGAUAAACUGGAGGAAGGUGGGGAUGACGUCAAGUCAUCAUGGCCCUUACGACCAGGGCUACACACGUGCUACAAUGGCGCAUACAAAGAGAAGCGACCUCGCGAGAGCAAGCGGACCUCAUAAAGUGCGUCGUAGUCCGGAUUGGAGUCUGCAACUCGACUCCAUGAAGUCGGAAUCGCUAGUAAUCGUGGAUCAGAAUGCCACGGUGAAUACGUUCCCGGGCCUUGUACACACCGCCCGUCACACCAUGGGAGUGGGUUGCAAAAGAAGUAGGUAGCUUAACCUUCGGGAGGGCGCUUACCACUUUGUGAUUCAUGACUGGGGUGAAGUCGUAACAAGGUAACCGUAGGGGAACCUGCGGUUGGAUCAC
Molecule: ribosomal RNA, 529 nt
Filed under: Escherichia coli
Lineage: Bacteria; Pseudomonadati; Pseudomonadota; Gammaproteobacteria; Enterobacterales; Enterobacteriaceae
Also listed under: 2 other names
Description: bacterial SSU rRNA
Rfam family: Bacterial small subunit ribosomal RNA
Source: RNAcentral